UAAGCGACUAAGCGUACACGGUGGAUGCCCUGGCAGUCAGAGGCGAUGAAGGACGUGCUAAUCUGCGAUAAGCGUCGGUAAGGUGAUAUGAACCGUUAUAACCGGCGAUUUCCGAAUGGGGAAACCCAGUGUGAUUCGUCACACUAUCAUUAACUGAAUCCAUAGGUUAAUGAGGCGAACCGGGGGAACUGAAACAUCUAAGUACCCCGAGGAAAAGAAAUCAACCGAGAUUCCCCCAGUAGCGGCGAGCGAACGGGGAGGAGCCCAGAGCCUGAAUCAGUGUGUGUGUUAGUGGAAGCGUCUGGAAAGGCGCGCGAUACAGGGUGUCAGCCCCGUACACAAAAAUGCACAUGCUGUGAGCUCGAUGAGUAGGGCGGGACACGUGGUAUCCUGUCUGAAUAUGGGGGGACCAUCCUCCAAGGCUAAAUACUCCUGACUGACCGAUAGUGAACCAGUACCGUGAGGGAAAGGCGAAAAGAACCCCGGCGAGGGGAGUGAAAAAGAACCUGAAACCGUGUACGUACAAGCAGUGGGAGCACGCUUAGGCGUGUGACUGCGUACCUUUUGUAUAAUGGGUCAGCGACUUAUAUUCUGUAGCAAGGUUAACCGAAUAGGGGAGCCGAAGGGAAACCGAGUCUUAACUGGGCGUUAAGUUGCAGGGUAUAGACCCGAAACCCGGUGAUCUAGCCAUGGGCAGGUUGAAGGUUGGGUAACACUAACUGGAGGACCGAACCGACUAAUGUUGAAAAAUUAGCGGAUGACUUGUGGCUGGGGGUGAAAGGCCAAUCAAACCGGGAGAUAGCUGGUUCUCCCCGAAAGCUAUUUAGGUAGCGCCUCGUGAAUUCAUCUCCGGGGGUAGAGCACUGUUUCGGCAAGGGGGUCAUCCCGACUUACCAACCCGAUGCAAACUGCGAAUACCGGAGAAUGUUAUCACGGGAGACACACGGCGGGUGCUAACGUCCGUCGUGAAGAGGGAAACAACCCAGACCGCCAGCUAAGGUCCCAAAGUCAUGGUUAAGUGGGAAACGAUGUGGGAAGGCCCAGACAGCCAGGAUGUUGGCUUAGAAGCAGCCAUCAUUUAAAGAAAGCGUAAUAGCUCACUGGUCGAGUCGGCCUGCGCGGAAGAUGUAACGGGGCUAAACCAUGCACCGAAGCUGAGGCAGCGACGCUGAUGCGUUGUUGGGUAGGGGAGCGUUCUGUAAGCCUGUGAAGGUGUGCUGUGAGGCAUGCUGGAGGUAUCAGAAGUGCGAAUGCUGACAUAAGUAACGAUAAAGCGGGUGAAAAGCCCGCUCGCCGGAAGACCAAGGGUUCCUGUCCAACGUUAAUCGGGGCAGGGUGAGUCGACCCCUAAGGCGAGGCCGAAAGGCGUAGUCGAUGGGAAACAGGUUAAUAUUCCUGUACUUGGUGUUACUGCGAAGGGGGGACGGAGAAGGCUAUGUUGGCCGGGCGACGGUUGUCCCGGUUUAAGCGUGUAGGCUGGUUUUCCAGGCAAAUCCGGAAAACUAAGGCUGAGGCGUGAUGACGAGGCACUACGGUGCUGAAGCAACAAAUGCCCAGCUUCCAGGAAAAGCCUCUAAGCAUCAGGUAACAUCAAAUCGUACCCCAAACCGACACAGGUGGUCAGGUAGAGAAUACCAAGGCGCUUGAGAGAACUCGGGUGAAGGAACUAGGCAAAAUGGUGCCGUAACUUCGGGAGAAGGCACGCUGAUAUGUAGGUGAAGUCCCUCGCGGAUGGAGCUGAAAUCAGUCGAAGAUACCAGCUGGCUGCAACUGUUUAUUAAAAACACAGCACUGUGCAAACACGAAAGUGGACGUAUACGGUGUGACGCCUGCCCGGUGCCGGAAGGUUAAUUGAUGGGGUCGAGCGCAAGCGAAGCUCUUGAUCGAAGCCCCGGUAAACGGCGGCCGUAACUAUAACGGUCCUAAGGUAGCGAAAUUCCUUGUCGGGUAAGUUCCGACCUGCACGAAUGGCGUAAUGAUGGCCAGGCUGUCUCCACCCGAGACUCAGUGAAAUUGAACUCGCUGUGAAGAUGCAGUGUACCCGCGGCAAGACGGAAAGACCCCGUGAACCUUUACUAUAGCUUGACACUGAACAUUGAGCCUUGAUGUGUAGGAUAGGUGGGAGGCUUUGAAGUGUGGACGCCAGUCUGCAUGGAGCCGACCUUGAAAUACCACCCUCUAAUGUUUGAUGUUCUAACGUUGACCCGUAAUCCGGGUUGCGGACAGUGUCUGGUGGGUAGUUUGACUGGGGCGGUCUCCUCCUAAAGAGUAACGGAGGAGCACGGAGGUUGGCUAAUCCUGGUCGGACAUCAGGAGGUUAGUGCAAUGGCAUAAGCCAGCUUGACUGCGAGCGUGACGGCGCGAGCAGGUGCGAAAGCAGGUCAUAGUGAUCCGGUGGUUCUGAAUGGAAGGGCCAUCGCUCAACGGAUAAAAGGUACUCCGGGGAUAACAGGCUGAUACCGCCCAAGAGUUCAUAUCGACGGCGGUGUUUGGCACCUCGAUGUCGGCUCAUCACAUCCUGGGGCUGAAGUAGGUCCCAAGGGUAUGGCUGUUCGCCAUUUAAAGUGGUACGCGAGCUGGGUUUAGAACGUCGUGAGACAGUUCGGUCCCUAUCUGCCGUGGGCGCUGGAGAACUGAGGGGGGCUGCUCCUAGUACGAGAGGACCGGAGUGGACGCAUCACUGGUGUUCGGGUUGUCAUGCCAAUGGCACUGCCCGGUAGCUAAAUGCGGAAGAGAUAAGUGCUGAAAGCAUCUAAGCACGAAACUUGCCCCGAGAUGAGUUCUCCCUGACCCUUUAAGGGUCCUGAAGGAACGUUGAAGACGACGACGUUGAUAGGCCGGGUGUGUAAGCGCAGCGAUGCGUUGAGCUAACCGGUACUAAUGAACCGUGAGGCUUAACCU
This 2901-nucleotide ribosomal RNA is filed under the name Escherichia coli DEC8E. Its description in RNAcentral is "bacterial LSU rRNA". It matches the Rfam family "Bacterial large subunit ribosomal RNA". Lineage: Bacteria; Pseudomonadati; Pseudomonadota; Gammaproteobacteria; Enterobacterales; Enterobacteriaceae. The record is from RNAcentral.